GACGAACGCUGGCGGCGUGCUUAACACAUGCAAGUCGAACGGAAAGGCCCUGCUUUUUUGGGGUGCUCGAGUGGCGAACGGGUGAGUAACACGUGAGUAACCUGCCCUUGACUUUGGGAUAACUUCAGGAAACUGGGGCUAAUACCGGAUAGGAGCUCCUGCUGCAUGGUGGGGGUUGGAAAGUUUCGGCGGUUGGGGAUGGACUCGCGGCUUAUCAGCUUGUUGGUGGGGUAGUGGCUUACCAAGGCUUUGGCGGGUAGCCGGCCUGAGAGGGUGACCGGCCACAGUGGGACUGAGAUACGGCCCAGACUCCUACGGGAGGCAGCAGUAGGAAAUAUUACACAAUGGGCGGAAGCCUGAGGCAGCAACGCCGCGGGCGGGAUGACGGCCUUCGGGUUGUGAACCGCUUUCGCCUGUGACGAAGCGUGAGUGACGGUAAUGGGUAAAGAAGCACCGGCUAACUACGUG
RNAcentral lists this ribosomal RNA (468 nucleotides) under uncultured bacterium. Its description in RNAcentral is "partial 16S ribosomal RNA". It matches the Rfam family "Bacterial small subunit ribosomal RNA", at positions 28 to 507 of the family's 1533-position model. The record is from RNAcentral.